GACGAACGCUGGCGGCGUGCUUAACACAUGCAAGUCGAACGAUGAAGAAGAGAAACGCGAACUUCGGUUCAAAUUUCACUUCGGAUUAGUGGCAGACGGGUGAGUAACGCGUGAGCAACCUACCUCUUACAAAGGGAUAGCCUCGGGAAACCGUGAUUAAUACCAUAUGACACAUUCAUAAGGCAUCUUAAGAAUGUUAAAGCUACGGCGGUAAGAGAUGGGCUCGCGUCCCAUUAGCUAGUUGGUGAGGUAACGGCCCACCAAGGCGACGAUGGGUAACCGGCCUGAGAGGGUGAACGGUCACAUUGGAAAUGAGACACGGUCCAAACUCCUACGGGAGGCAGCAGUGGGGAAUAUUGCACAAUGGAGGGAACUCUGAUGCAGCGACGCCGCGUGAGCGAUGAAGGAAUUCGUUUCGUAAAGCUCUGUUCUAUGGGAAGAAAAGGACUGUACCAUAGGAGAAAGCCCCGGCUAAAUACGUG
This 482-nucleotide ribosomal RNA is filed under the name uncultured bacterium. RNAcentral's name for it is "partial 16S ribosomal RNA". It matches the Rfam family "Bacterial small subunit ribosomal RNA", at positions 28 to 507 of the family's 1533-position model. The record is from RNAcentral.